GAAGCUUCCACGAUCUGAUGAAGUUGCCGUGACAAAGUGAUUUUUCCUUUGUUUUGCUGAUUCAGAGAUGCGUUG
Arabidopsis thaliana (thale cress) is the source of this 75-nucleotide non-coding RNA. NCBI's taxonomy places the organism in Eukaryota, Viridiplantae, Streptophyta, Magnoliopsida, Brassicales, Brassicaceae. The record is from Rfam.